This 1324-nucleotide long non-coding RNA is filed under the name Mus pahari (shrew mouse). Its description in RNAcentral is "lncRNA (MGP_PahariEiJ_G0002446.1)". Lineage: Eukaryota; Metazoa; Chordata; Mammalia; Rodentia; Muridae. The record is from RNAcentral.
UGACAGUUCCUCCCGGCUCUGACAGCCCGCGGGUGCGGCUGCAGGUGCCAUCUCGGCUUCCUUAGCCCAGCUCAGGACAAACUCCAGAAGGAAACAACCCCGGCUCUGGUCCCCUCGGGCACCCCGGGGAAGGACCCGGCACCGGCCGGUCACUCUCCGCCCGCCCGCCCUCCCGAGAGCGCGGCCCCGACCCGGGGUCCGCCGCCAAGCCCGAGCGCCCGGGGCGUUCGAGGGGGCUGGCGGCUCCUGUUCCCACCGCCGCCCGCCGUACCUGGUGGUGGUUGUACGAGUUCCUCUGCUGCAGGAAGGCGGCUGCGGCAGCCUGGUGCUGCUGCUGCAGCUGCGGGCUGACGGGUGACCUCCGGCUCUGCGGCUGCUGCGGCGCCGCCGCCGGCGGCUGCUGUUGAGAAGUCUUAAUAAUUGUUUUAGUGAUUGGGGCCAGCAGAAACCUUCUUCCUGACAUUCUUCUAAGUGACAGUUUAUCCUUGCCACAGUGGUCACUGUUGUGCUUCAAACAUGGAAAAAGACGUCUCAUAUGGUCCUACCCCCUAUAGAAAGAACCACGGUUAACUAAUGACUGCCAGAUGAAGUUCCUGCUUCCAGCUUCCUGCCAAGACUUCCUUUAAUGGUGGACUGUAACCUGAAGCUCAAAUCCCAAAUGACGUUCCUGCUCUGUUGCCUGUGCCCUGGACUGCUCACUGCCUGAGCCUAUCUACCCUUGGGGGGUUGGAGGUGAGGUAUCACAAAGUCAUCAACACAGACUCCUGAAGAAGAGAAGGCUCCAGGAAGGAUCUGUCUAGCUGGGAAAUACACCUUCCUGUUGUUUUGGUACAGAGAAAGACCAGCUGACUGGUUUUCAGAAUGAGAAGAGUCUAGUUGGCAGCCCAAAGAGGUGACUGAGAACUGGCUGUGUAAGGACAGCAGAGCUUCCUGGGGACAGGCUUCAUUUUUCCUGCUUAAAAAAAAAAAAAGAUAUGGGAGAAUUCCAAUGUUCUGGCAAAAUUAAGGAAACCUGCAAUUGGUUGCUUGGAUAAAAAAACAGCAAACCUGUCUGUAGUAAAUUACAUAUGGGGACAAAGCCCCACUGACUCCCGAGGCUGCCUCCCUCCCUGUACUCCACCCUGCCGCCAUCCUUAAGGUAAUGUCCUUCAGAUUGCACAAGCUGCAUUUCAGAGACCUGCAGUCCAAGCUUGACACCUAAGAACUGUGUCCCCUUUAGGUAAGUCUCAUGGCUUUUUUGUCUGAGUUUCAUGAUAUUAUUUGUAACACGGUAUUAAAUCUGUUUCUUCAUAUUGAUAUGAGAAAUAAACACACUUUCAUCAGC